This 305-nucleotide ribosomal RNA is filed under the name uncultured bacterium. RNAcentral's name for it is "bacterial SSU rRNA". It matches the Rfam family "Bacterial small subunit ribosomal RNA", at positions 332 to 652 of the family's 1533-position model. The record is from RNAcentral.
UACUGCCUACGGGGCGCAGCAGUGGGGAAUAUUGGGCAAUGGGCGCAAGCCUGACCCAGCAACGCCGCGUGAAGGAAGAAGGCUUUCGGGUUGUAAACUUCUUUUCUCAGGGACGAAGCAAGUGACGGUACCUGAGGAAUAAGCCACGGCUAACUACGUGCCAGCAGCCGCGGUAAUACGUAGGUGGCAAGCGUUAUCCGGAUUCACUGGGCGUAAAGGGAGCGCAGGCGGCACGGCAAGCCUGGUGUGAAAACCCGGGGCCCAACCCCGGGAGUGCAUUGGGAACUGCCGCGCUAGAGUGCCGG